CCCUUAGACACUCUAGGCGGCACGCGCGCUACACUGGGUGGGAGAACGUGUUACUGCCAUCGAAAGGUGGGGUGAAUCACGAAUCCUUGCCCGUGAAUGGGAUAGUUUGUUGCAAUUUUCGGACUUGAACUAGGAAUCCCUUGUAAGCAUGCUCAAGAAUAGCGUGUUGAAUACGUCCCUGCCGUUUGUACACACCGCCCGUCGUUUCUUCCGACUGAUACUCAUUGUGAGUUGCAAGGAUCCUUCAUUGGAGAAUUGCCGCGAAUGCUUUGUAUUGGAGGAAGAAAAAGUCGUAACA
Molecule: ribosomal RNA, 298 nt
Filed under: uncultured eukaryote
Lineage: Eukaryota
Description: partial 18S ribosomal RNA
Rfam family: Eukaryotic small subunit ribosomal RNA
Source: RNAcentral